GUCUGACCUCGGAUCAG
RNAcentral lists this ribosomal RNA (17 nucleotides) under Pseudocoleodictyospora thailandica. Its description in RNAcentral is "partial 28S ribosomal RNA". The record is from RNAcentral. Lineage: Eukaryota; Fungi; Ascomycota; Dothideomycetes; Pleosporales.